CAUCAUCGUAAGAACAAUAACUGGCUGUUUUACUAUGCUCUCAACUAUGCUGCUGUUGCUACUGGCUUUACUUUUCCACACAUUUGGUUUAAUCAAAUAGGGCAAGGACAAGGUUCAUAGACGAGACAGCAUCCAUAAAGUAGAUACGGAGGAUAAUGAUAACCAGUCAAUAAGAGUCACAAGAGGUCUACAAGAGGACAUUUGUAACAUUGGUAAACCAUAUAACAGUUGUGCACUUGCAGCAGCAGGAUCAUAUUUUUCUCAGUUUAAUCACUUCAUCUUACAUACUAUGUAUCUUAAUUCUUACGGUUAAUUUAUCAACAGCAUACAUUGUCAAAAUCCAAGAGAGUUCGUUCUCCAGUGCUUAGUUCUUCAUUUCAAACUUUUAAUUUCAAAAAGGUUGCUGCUUAACGUGCUACUACAUAAGCCUGAUAAAUUCAUGCUGGUAGCAAUUUUUCCUAUAGAAAAUUUAGUACUGGGAACAAAUUGAAAGUUUUAAUUCAAAGUGCUAAAACUUUUGGAAUCAGCUGGACUGCAAAAAAUUCUACAGAAUAAGAUCAAUUUGAGGAUAAGAAGGAGCCAAAUAUUCCAUUACAAGUGACAUCGGAUCUUAAGUCUGUAUGGAAACAUUUAACCUACAAAAUUUAUAGGACUUCAAUAUUUUUUACCAGCAAAAGGAAGUCUUUAGCAAGGAGUUAUCAUUGUAAACUUAUCCAAACAAAAAAAUUGACAAUUAUGUACAACUAUUAUUACUUGAAUUUGAAACUCUCUACCCUUCUGAUGCUGUACCUUCCAGGCGCCUUAAAACUAGUAAAGCUACUGAUAUCAUUGUGUGUGCAUUCUCAAAU
Molecule: long non-coding RNA, 848 nt
Organism: Nasonia vitripennis (jewel wasp)
Lineage: Eukaryota; Metazoa; Arthropoda; Insecta; Hymenoptera; Pteromalidae
Exons: 5
Source: RefSeq, a predicted model, not a curated record